GAUGAGCUCGCGGCCUAUCAGCUUGUUGGUGGGGUAACGGCCCACCAAGGCAACGACGGGUAGCCGGCCUGAGAGGGUGACCGGCCACACUGGGACUGAGACACGGCCCAGACUCCUACGGGAGGCAGCAGUGGGGAAUAUUGGACAAUGGGCGAAAGCCUGAUCCAGCAACGCCGCGUGAGGGAUGACGGCCUUCGGGUUGUAAACCUCUUUCAUCGAGGACGAAGCGCAAGUGACGGUACUCGAAGAAGAAGCACCGGCCAACUACGUGCCAGCAGCCGCGGUAAUACGUAGGGUGCGAGCGUUGUCCGGAAUUAUUGGGCGUAAAGGGCUCGUAGGCGGUUUGUCGCGUCGGGAGUGAAAACUCAGGGCUUAACCCUGAGCCUGCUUCCGAUACGGGCAGACUAGAGGUAUGCAGGGGAGAAUGGAAUUCCUGGUGUAGCGGUGAAAUGCGCAGAUAUCAGGAGGAACACCGGUGGCGAAGGCGGUUCUCUGGGCAUUACCUGACGCUGAGGAGCGAAAGUGUGGGGAGCGAACAGGAUUAGAUACCCUGGUAGUCCACACCGUAAACGUUGGGCGCUAGGUGU
RNAcentral lists this ribosomal RNA (587 nucleotides) under uncultured Actinomycetes bacterium. RNAcentral's name for it is "bacterial SSU rRNA". It matches the Rfam family "Bacterial small subunit ribosomal RNA", at positions 224 to 823 of the family's 1533-position model. The record is from RNAcentral. Lineage: Bacteria; Bacillati; Actinomycetota; Actinomycetes.